Neoarius graeffei (lesser salmon catfish) is the source of this 8326-nucleotide RNA transcript. It is a transcript of the gene named cytosolic phospholipase A2-like, with no coding region annotated. NCBI's taxonomy places the organism in Eukaryota, Metazoa, Chordata, Actinopteri, Siluriformes, Ariidae. The record is from RefSeq and is a predicted model, not a curated record. The transcript has 2 exons.
CACUGUCAUCUCCCACGUGAGCAUUGAAGUCCCCCAGUAACACAAUGGAGUCCCCAGUCUGAGCACUCCUCAGUACCUCUCCCAGGGACUCCAAGAAGGCCGGAUACUCUAUACUGCUAUUUGGGCCAUAGGCACAAACAACAGCAAGAGCCCUCUCCCCAAUCCGAAGGCGCAGCGAGGCGACCCUCUCGUUCACUGGGGUAAACUCCAACACAUGGCGGCUGAGCUGGGGAGCUAUAAGCAAGCCCACACCAGCCCGCCGCCGCUCACCACGGGCGACUCCAGAGAAGUGGAGAGUCCAGCCCCUCUCAAGGAGCUGGGUUCCAGAGCCCAAGCUGUGCGUGGAGGUGAGCCCAACUAUCUCUAGCCGGUACCUCUCAACCUCCCGCACAAGCUCAGGCUCUUUCCCCCCCAGCGAAGUGACAUUCCAUGUCCCAACAGCCAGCCGCUGUGUCCGGGGAUCAGGUCGUCGAGGCCCCUGCCUUCGACUGCCACCCAAUCCACAUUGCACCAGUCCCCUACUGCUACCUCUGUGGGUGGUGAACCCACAGGAGGUCGGGCCCACGUCAGCUCUUCGGGCUGAGCCCGGCCGGGCCCCAUGGGCAAAGGCCCGGCCACCAAGCGCUCGCAUACGAGCCCCAACCCCGGGCCUGGCUCCAGGGUGGGGCCCCGGCUCUGGCUCCAGGGUGGGGCCCCGGCUGCGUCAUCCCGGGCGACGUCACGGUCCUCGGAUUUUUCUCCAUAGGGGUUUUGGUGAACUGCUCUUAGUCUGGCCUGUCACCUAGGACCUGUCUGCCUUGGGAAACCCUGACAGGGGCAUAAUGCCCCCGACAACAUAGCUCCUAGGAUCAUUCAAGCACACAAACCCCUCCACCACAAUAAGGUGGCAGUUCAAGGAGGGGCUAUCCAUAUUGACUUGAAGAUAAUGUUUUCAUCUGACUAACUCCAAGCUAACAAGUAUGUUUACAUCGGCUACACUUAACUUCCAGUACCUGGCUAUUAAUGAUUUGACACCACAGCCCGGGUGGCAUAUUGGUUGCCCAUGUGCAACAAAGCUUGACGUGCUGAAGGAUGUUUAAGAACUUAAAGCUACUUACAAUAGCUAAUCAGGUGACUGCACUUUGGGGCAUUAUUACAACUUGGGCUUGUACUACUGAUAGUGAUCAUAUUUAAAUGCUGUACAGUUACCCUUUAAAGCUGUCUACACCCAUUCACACCACUUUCAUUAAACAUUAAAGCAUGGUAAAUGAAUAAUUAUUAUGGUUGACUAAUGUCAGAAUAGCACAAAUACCCUGGUUUAGAAUGGAUUCACCUACUCUAUAACUGUGUGAAACACAACAUAGUGUUGCAUAGGCAGAUGAGAUUAACCAAUGUACAGUGGUGCUUGAAAGUUUGUGAACCCUUUAAAAUUUUCUAUAUUUCUGCAUAAAUAUGACCUAAAAUAACAUCAGAUUUUCACACAAGUCCUAAAAGUAGCUAAAGAGAAGCCAGUUAAACAAAUGAGACAAAAAUAUUAUACUUGGUCAUUUAUUUAUUGAGGAAAAUGAUCCAAUAUUACAUAUCUGUGAGUGGCAAAAGUAUGUGAACCUCUAGGAUUAGCAGUUAAUUUGAAGGUGAAAUUAGAGUCAGGUGUUUGCAAUCAAUGGGAUGACAAUCAGGUGUGAGUGGGCACCCUGUUUUACAACUCCGAUUCCAAAAAAGUUGGGGCAAAGUACAAAUUGUAAAUAAAAACGGAAUGCAAUGAUGUGGACGUUUCAAAAUUCCAUAUUUUAUUCAGAAUAGAACAUAGAUGACAUAUCAAAUGUUUAAACUGAGAAAAUGUAUCAUUUAAAGAGAAAAAUUAGGUGAUUUUAAAUUUCAUGACAACAACACAUCUCAAAAAAGUUGGGACAAGGCCAUGUUUCCCACUGUGAGACAUCCCCUUUUCUCUUUACAACAGUCUGUAAACGUCUGGGGACUGAGGAUAUAAGUUACUCAAGUUUAGGGAUAGGAAUGUUAACCCAUUCUUGUCUAAUGUAGGAUUCUAGUUGCUCAACUGUCUUAGGUCUUUUUUGUCGUAUCUUCCAUUUUAUGAUGCGCCAAAUGUUUUCUAUGGGUGAAAGAUCUGGACUGCAGGCUGGCCAGUUCAGUACCCGGACCCUUCUUCUACGCAGCCAUGAUGCUGUAAUUGAUGCAAUAUGUGGUUUGGCAUUGUCAUGUUGGAAAAUGCAAGGUCUUCCCUGAAAGAGAUGUCGUCUGGAUGGGAGCAUAUGUUGCUCUAGAACAGAGGUGGAAAGUAACGAAUUACAUUUACUCACGUUACUGUAAUUAAGUAGAUUUUUUGUGUAAUUUGUAAUUUUUUAAGUAGUUUUUGAAAUGGGUAAUUUACUUUUACUCAAGUACAUUUCGAACCAAGUAUUUUACUUCGCUACAUUCGAAAACCGCCCAUUACUGAGUAAAAAAUUAAAUGCGGGGAAAAAAAACCAAUUGGCCUGAACUGAAAGGAAACUGGCACAGGCGCGCGCGGAAUAUCCAUAUUAGCCUACAUGUAUGGUUGGAUGAUGGCUGGUGCCGAGGUAGCCGAGCAAGAGAUAGAGGAGGUCAUGGAAGAGGUUGAGGAUUGCCAAGAAGAGAAUUCCCGUGGAACAGAUGCACCGGACAGCGAGGGAAAUCCUUGGCCGUAUCUCAGCCAGUACUUUGCAUUCAAACGCAAACGAGGCAAUAACAUAAUAAUGCAAUGCAAAAUGUGCCUGCCCUGCUGUACAGAGCUAUCAGUCUACAAAACUUCCACAUCAAAUCUGCGGAAGCAUGUGGUGGUAAGUAGAUAUGUGCAUUUACCUGUGUAUCCCAAACGUUAUAUUUAUUGUUUGGUUAAAACCUUCCACUGUUGAGUAAAAUGUGCCUUCAUUAUCAAUUCUUUUGGCUGCCUAGCAUCCAUACUGAUCACUAACGUUUCAAGUGAAGUAGCCUAAAUAAAAUGAAUCCCCUCACGUUUACAAAUUUGUUUUAUCAGAAUGAUAGUCAGAAAUAAUACGAGUGCAUGGUUUUAGCUGCAAUUGGUCUCUUAUGAAAAAAUCCUAAUUCAUGUAUAGACUAGCUCCUGGGUUGUUAGCUGUAGCCUAGACUAGAGCUUUGGGAGGUCACUGAUAGGCCAUCAAAACAUUUUCACUGUCUUGGAUACUUUGUUUGAUUUUGGUUUUCUUUUCUUUUUUAUUGUGGUGUUUGAGUUGGACCAUACAAUUCAGAAUUUGGCACUUUGCUUAAAAAUGUUUUAUGGGGUGGUCUCAAAAUAGUUUGGACAUUACCUCUCGACACGUUGUAAACAUUAUGCAGUUAAUUUGUCAAUUAUAUUUUCUAUAUAAGGAAGAGCACAGUGCUACUAAGGAAUCGCUUAGCUGUCUUUAAAUCGUGAGAGUCCUGGACACUUUGAGUUUGGUUGGUUUAUGUUUAAUAUGUGUCAUUUAGUAAGUCUGCUUUAGUGGCUUUAAUAGAUUAGAUUAGAUUCACUGUAUUCAUCCCACAUCGGGGAAAUUCACGUGUUACAGUAGCAAGAAAAUGUCAAACAUAACAAAUAAAACUGAAAUACAAAUUAGACAAACGAAGGAUUAAAUACAGAGGGCUAUUUGCAUUAUCUACCAUGAAAAAGUAUAGAAAAAUUGCCUUAUUGAGAGGCUCGGAAAAAUUGCACAUUACAGGUAGACUCUGUAUAUAUACACACAUAUAUACAUAAAUAAUAUUUAUAUAUAAAUAUAAAUAUAAGUAUGCAUAAAAAUAGCAGGCGUUUGUCAGUAAAGAAAAAAAUGGAUGAUAGAAUUUACAACUUAUGCCACUUGUACUUGAAAAUGUUUUAUGGGGUAGUCCAAACAAAGCUUUAUGCAUUAUAAUGCCUGACAUGUUAUUAUGUGGACUAAUAGUUCAUUAAAAACAAUUUGAUUUAUGACUUGUCCUUUCUUUUUUUACAUCAAAUAAUUGAAAGUAACUAAGUAACUUUUACUCAAAGUACAUUUUAAAUUGAGUACUUUUUUACUUUUACUCGAGUAGCUUUUUAGAUGGGUAUUUUUACUUUUACUUGAGUAUAAUUUAAGCAAAGUAAAGAUACUUUUACUUAAUUACAAUUUUUCAGUACUUUUUCUACCUCUGCUCUAGAACCUGGAUAUACCUUUCAGCAUUGAUGGUGUCUUUCCAGAUGUGUAAGCUGCCCAUGCCACACGCACUAAUGCAACCCCAUACCAUCAGAGAUGCAGGCUUCUGAACUGAACACCGAUAACAACUUGGGUCAUCCUUCUCCUCUUUAGUGCGAAUGACACGGCGUCCCUGAUUUCCAUAAAGAACUUCAAAUUUUGAUUCGUCUGACCACAGAACAGUUUUCCACUUUGCCACAGUCCAUUUUAAAUGAGCCUUGGCCCAGAGAAGACGUCUGCGCUUCUGGAUCAUGUUUAGAUACGGAUUCUUCUUUGAAAUAUAGAGUUUUAGCUGGCAACGGCGGAUGGCACGGUGAAUUGUGUUCACAGAUAAUGUUCUCUGGAAAUAUUCCUGAGCCCAUUUUGUGAUUUCCAAUACAGAAGCAUGCCUGUAUGUGAUGCAGUGCCGUCUAAGGGCCCGAAGAUCACGGGUACCCAGUAUGGUUUUCCGGCCUUGACCCUUACGCACAGAGAUUCUUCCAGAUUCUCUGAAUCUUUUGAUGAUAUUAUGCACUGUAGAUGAUAUGUUCAAACUCUUUGCAAUUUUACACUGUCGAACUCCUUUCUGAUAUUGCUCCACUAUUUGUCAGCCCAGAAUUAGGGGGAUUGGUGAUCCUCUUCCCAUCUUUACUUCUGAGAGCCGCUGCCACUCCAAGAUGCUCUUUUUAUACCCAGUCAUGUUAAUGACCUAUUGACCUAAUGAGUUGCAAUUUGGUCCUCCAGCUGUUCUGUUUUUGUACCUUUAACUUUUCCGCCCUCUUAUUGCCCCUGUCCCAACUUUUUUGAGAUGUGUUGCUGUCAUGAAAUUUCAAAUGAGGCAAUAUUUGGCAUGAAAUUUCAAAAUGUCUCACUUUUGACAUUUUAUAUGUUGUCUAUGUUCUAUUGUGAAUACAAUAUCUGUUUUUGAGAUUUGUAAAUUAUUGCAUUCCAUUUUUAUUUACAAUUUGUACUUUGUCCCAACUUUUUUGGAAUCAGGAUUGUAUUUCAAGAACAGGGAUCUAUCAAAGUUUGAUCUUCACAACACAUGUUUGUGGAAGUGUAUCAUGGCAUGAACAAAGGAGAUUUCUGAGGACCUCAGAAAAAGCAUUGUUGAUGCUCAUCAGGCCGAAAAAGGUUACAAAACCAUCUCUAAAGAGUUUGGACUCCACCAAUCUACAGUCAGACAGAUUGUGUACAAAUGGAGGAAAUUUAAGACCAUUGUUACCCUCCCCAGGAGUGGUCGACCAACAAAGAUCACUCUAAGAGCAAGGCGUAUAAUAGUCGGCAAGGUCACAAAGGACCCCAGGGUAACUUCUAAUCAACUGAAGGCCUCUCUCACAUUGGCUAAUGUUAAUGUUCAUGAGUCCACCAUCAGGAGAACACUGAACAACAAUGGUGUGCAUGGCAGGGUUGCAAGGAGAAAGCCACUGCUCUCCAAAAAGAACAUUGCUGCUUCUCUGCAGUUGUCUGCUCUUCUGCUCCUCCUACUCAAGCGAGUAGGACGCUUCUUUGCUUUGCUCCUGCUUUCUUGAUCUUUAUUUCUAUACUUUACUUUCUCAUUUAAUUUCCACUAUUUUUUUCAUUUUAUUUUUCAUCUUUAUAAGAUAAGUUAGUUUUUAAAACAAAAUGCCAGGAAGCAAAAAAUCCUGCAGAAAAUGCAUGGAACUAGAACAGAGGAUUUCUAUUCUGGAAUCAAAGAUUGAUGCUCUGCCAAAGACGGACGAAUUAAAAGCAAUAUCUCAGGAAAGGAGUACAGAAACAGUGGCUGAGAAUGCAGAGAUUGCACUCCGACAGACCGAGGACAUUGUGGAUGAAUUCACCAAUCAAGCUGGGCAAAAUGUGAGUACAGAAAACUGGCAAAUGAUGGGUGGUAAGCCCAAAAAUAAAAACAGAAGAGUGAUUACUUCAACACCAGCUCGUUCUACAAAUUACAAUGGGAUCUACAAUCCUAUGGAAAAUCCACAGCCCAUAAGGAUUCAGAACAAAUUUGAAUGCCUCAGGGAUGUGGAAGAGGAUUUUUCAAGCGGACAAACACAUAGUAAAAAGAGAUCGCACCAAGAUCGAAGAGCUGUGAGAAGAGGCAAAAAGCAGCUCCUUACACCACCUGACCCCACAACCCUUGUUCUUGGUGAUUCCACUGUAAGACAAUUAAAAGGUUAUGGGAUGAUUAUUUGUUGUCUUCCAAAUGCAUCCAUCUCUGACACCAAAGACAGCAUUUUGAAGCUCAUGUCCGAGCAUAAAACUAUAAAACGUAUUGUUGUGCAUGUGGGAGCAAAUGAUGUUUUCAGAGAACAGCUGUUUGUCCAAGAUGAUUUCAGAAAACUUUUUUCUGAGCUCUAUAAGACUGGAAUUCAAUCUUUUAUCAGUGGCCCACUCCCAGCGAGAGGAAGUUUUGCUUUUUCUCGACUCUUCAGUCUUAACACCUGGCUUGGAAAAACUUGUUCUUCAUUUGGUAUGAACUUCAUAGACAAUUUUAACCUUUUCUGGAAUCGCAGAGAAUUUUACAAGCCAAACAGCACUGAACUCAGCUGGAUUGGAGCCAAAGUCUUAGUAGACCAUUACAAACUUGCAAUCUUUUCUCAGCCAGCACUGAGGAAAACAGUUGAUAAGAUGUCGCAGACUGACAUAGUUACAAAGCCUAAACAAUCAUCUUUGCAAGUCGUCAUCAUAGGCCGUAAGGUGAACCCCGAAAAGUCUUUCAGAAACAAGAUUCCGCUCCGACGUCUCUGAACUACAUAAUAUCCAAUUCUUAAAAAUGGACGUAUUAUGAAAUGAUGUCAUCAAAAAGUUCUCACCUUGUAAUGCUGUCAAUUUUUCGCACAAAGGCUUGAAAAAGCGAACUAAUGUCAUCAGCGCGGAAUGAUAUUUUGGCACCGCGGAAUAAGAUUUCACUACAGAACAGGUUCCACGGUUGCUGACGUAGCCCCAUUUCGUAAACAAGAGACCAACAUGGCAGCCAUCACAGCCUCGUCUAGCAGCAGUGGAGGAGAGGAAAGUUUGGAAAUAAUGGCAAAAAGGAGAAAACUUCUUGCACAUAAGCAGUGCUAUAUGCAUAUAGCUUCUGUGAAGCACGGAGUGACCCAGGAAUUUACCUUCAAACGGUGGAAUACAUACCGGGACAGUAUCCGACAGUGCCUGCAGUUGAGCGGUGAGAACAGGAGACUAGCCGAAAACUACAAACACUGUUUAGAUUUAGAGUUUGACAAGAUACCCGAGGAUGCUGCCUUCCACCCUGCAUGUUACCGCAGGUUUACGGACAAACUUGCGAUUGAACGUGCAGGAAAGCGUAUGGUGCGCGAGAAAGAAGGGGAAGAUGAAACUCAAGACGCCGCAAGACCCCCCGAAGCUCCCCCCCCCCCCCGAAGCUGGCCCCUCAACAUCGUGUAGCACUAAGAGUCUUAGAUCCAGGUCAGCACUGCCUAUGUCCAGCUCAGGUCCCGUCCUUCCUGCCCUGUGCAUUAUAUGUAAAAAAAAAAACCCUCAAAUUCAUCUUAAAGGGAGGCAAACGACAAAGGGAAGCUCUUUCAAAAGCUGAGACCUUAACAGCAGGUAAGCAAACCCACCCAUCCCCCCCCCACACACACACACAAAGGGUCACAAUCACUGAUCAACCCCCCUGCCCCCCCACACACAAAGGGUCACUAUCACUGAUGACUAUCUACAGUGCUAUCUCCCUCUGCAAGUGUGUUUGCAUGCAUGGAUGUUAUGUUUCAAUGUUUGUAUGCAUGUAACAUAUGUGUGCCUUUAUGUGAAUAUGCUACUGGCAAACUUAAAUUCCUACGUGGUAAUAAGCAUGUCUUUCUGUCUGGCAAGGCAAGUUGCAGACUGCUGCUGAGACUAAAGAUGACCACAGUAUUCUGGUACACAUUAAGGACGAAGACUGUGUGGCUCUGGAGGUGCAGUACCACAAGAGCUGCUACCAGCAGUACACCAGAUUUCUGAAUGAGCCUGCUAGACAAGAGAAGGACAAGUCAUUGCCUGGAUGCUGACCCCUGCCUUUUUGCACCAUGCCACAGGACUUAUAUAUAUAUAUAUAUAUAUAUAUAUAUAUAUAUAUAUAUAUAUAUAUAUAUAUAUAUAUAUUUUUUGUGUAUAUAUAUAAAUUUGAUUUGUAAUGUGUAUAUAUCACUGUUUUGUUGUUUACAUUUUCUAUUAAAGUUUGCAAUUUGCCACAUAGUUCUGUUGUA